UUUGGUAUCAAAAGAGAUUGAUAAUCUCUUGGGUAAGUUCACAAUGUUUCUGUUCAUACUUUGAAUUGCUGGAAACAUCAGCCUAUAUUAUUUUCCUUUUUAGAAUAAUAAUUUCGCCCUAGUUGGAAUCAAGAAUGUACUUUUCUACUACUUCAUCUAAUUGUAUGUUAUAAAUAUGUGUUGUUGUCCCAUUUGGAAGUCUAAGGUGGGUAUGAAAUAUUUACUUUAUAUAGUUUAGUUUUUGGAUUAUUUUUUAUUUUUGUACAAAGUCCUGCUAAAUUGUUUAACAGUUGUAUCAAUUAUAACAAGUCACACUCUCAUGUCUUAUACUCCAGAAAUACAGAAACAAAGAAAUUUCACGAUCGAACUACCAAAAGAAAAUAAAAAGGACUAUUUCGACUUUAGUACAUCAUUGGAAACAACGUCUCUAUCUCUCAAGGUAAGAGUAAAACUAAGUAUAUUAUUGUUGUAGACUUUAAGUAUAUCGUUCAAAUAUUCUUUGAUUGUCUUUUAUCCUGAGGAUUUGUGAAUAGUACUAUCGUUCUAAAAGGUAAGGAAUUUCUUUCUAAUAAUAAGAACUCUCCUUAAAGUUGUAACUCUCACCAAAUUCUUUUCAUAUUAAUCAAUGAAUUAUGUUAUUUUAAUUUUUUGGAGAGAUUGCAGAAGAGGCCAGACACAUGGAAUAUGAUAAAUAGAACGUCAAGACAUUUACAAAUUUGUCAGCUCUUCUUUUAUUCUUGCCCCGAUUUUGUUAUUGAAAGUUAAUUUAUAUUUGUUGUAUUCAGUGCUGAUAUCAUCCUAUGGGAAGCAUCUCUGAAAGGUUGCAAGUGAGUCAAAUAGAGAAAGAGGAUAACAUGCAAUCUAUUACCUCUAGGGUUGAUCAGGAC
Molecule: long non-coding RNA, 887 nt
Filed under: Solanum tuberosum (potato)
Lineage: Eukaryota; Viridiplantae; Streptophyta; Magnoliopsida; Solanales; Solanaceae
Description: long non-coding RNA (STUB_LNC010712)
Source: RNAcentral